RNAcentral lists this unclassified non-coding RNA (176 nucleotides) under Mucor moelleri. RNAcentral describes it as "partial internal transcribed spacer 2". The record is from RNAcentral. Lineage: Eukaryota; Fungi; Mucoromycota; Mucoromycetes; Mucorales; Mucoraceae.
ACACCCCACAUUCAAAACUUGUGUUUGAAUGGAAUUGAGGGCAAACGGCUUUACUGCUGUUCCCUUUAAAACUAUUAGGCCUGAAUUUGUCUGUUCUGCCUGAACUUUUUUUUAAUAUAAAGGAAAGCUCUUGCUAAUAAGACUCUCUUGGGGCCUCUCAAAUAAAUCUUUCUUAA